GACGAACGCUGGCGGCGUGCUUAACACAUGCAAGUCGAACGAAGCUUGAUUACGGAUUCUUCGGAUGAAGUAUGAUAUGACUGAGUGGCGGACGGGUGAGUAACGCGUGAGUAACCUGCCCUUCAGAGGGGGAUAGCGUUUGGAAACGAACGGUAAUACCGCAUAAUGUAUUUUGACCGCAUGUUCGAAAUACCAAAGAUUUAUCGCUGAAGGAUGGACUCGCGUCUGAUUAGGUAGUUGGUGGGGUAACGGCCUACUAAGCCGACGAUCAGUAGCCGGACUGAGAGGUUGAUCGGCCACAUUGGGACUGAGACACGGCCCAGACUCCUACGGGAGGCAGCAGUGGGGAAUAUUGCACAAUGGGCGCAAGCCUGAUGCAGCAACGCCGCGUGAAGGAAGACGGUUUUCGGAUUGUAAACUUCUGUUCUUAGUGAAGAAUAAUGACGGUAGCUAAGGAGCAAGCCACGGCUAACUACGUG
Molecule: ribosomal RNA, 479 nt
Filed under: uncultured bacterium
Lineage: Bacteria
Description: partial 16S ribosomal RNA
Rfam family: Bacterial small subunit ribosomal RNA
Source: RNAcentral